ACGGCAAGCAGCCCGCAUCCACCCUCUCGGGCCAUUGCUAGGACUUUGGCUCUGACUCUGCACGAGGUCAGAAAGCACUGGAGACUGGAGCACAGCUGACACUACCAGAUUGAGAUUUUGGCAGGACUGCUUGCUGCUGGAGCGACCGUGCCAAGCACUUCUGUCUCCCUUGUCCCUUCAGACAGCCCACAGAAGAAUUUUUAGACAUAUAUGUGUAUGCAUACUCCUUCACGCAGGUCAUCGGGUUGGCGAUGGAAUCAGACCGUACAGAGUCGCACCGAUGACAACACUGAGGCUCUUAUGUGCGUGGCUCACCCGUGCAUAUCCAGCCAGCAGGGGCCAAGCUCUCCCGACUGAGACUUCUUCCCAGGGGUGAGGUGUGGACAUACCUCAGUGAGACCCAAAAUGUGUCUCUGAGGCCACGUGGCCAUCAUAUCACAUGCCAUCUCGGAAGCUAGGCACAUUAGUGCUGACACCUGUCACUGUCAAGGCACCCAGAAGCCAACUUUUUGUUAGGCAGUCCCACAGUUGUCAUAAAAGACGCAGUUACUCCAAGGUGGUGGGGGGUGGGGGCUUUCUCCUUUAAGGAGGUUACUGGGGAGGCCCUUGGCUCCUUGGGGGGGGCGUUGAGAGAAGAAAAGGACCAAGUCCAGUCUUGUGACCAUCUGAUGUCAUCUCAAAGACAGUGUCAGCCUCUUGGUUCGAUGGGGAGAGGAUGAGAUGGCAUUGAAUUGUGAAAGAAGAAAGUACUUUCUCUAUGCCUGGCUACCUAAAAAAUUGUGUACUUGCCUCUGCUAUUCAGUAGGGGUUCGCAUGGCCAACUUGGAUUGUUUGACUUCACUUCAAAAGAAUGUUUAUGUGAUAACCAAAGCCUUCCACCUACGAAUUCGUCUGCAUCCAUUCGGUCUCCUUCCCACCCAGGCAGGACACUGCUGUGGCCAGGCUUCUGGCAUCUAUCACUGGCCAGCUGCCCUGGGCUGGACCUGCCCCCAGCUCCAGGAAAUGUUGAAUGAAGGGAUGAGGGUAUUGUUGGAGCCCUCACGCUCGAAGACCUGGUGCACUGGAGUUGAAUGAACUUGAGUGAAAAGACAAACAUUUCAAGAGCUGUUUGCUCCUGAGCAAAUCAACUGAAUUCCAAGCCUUAAUUUCCUCGGCUCUGCCUGUACGUCUCAGGAUUCUGGGGAGUAACAUAUGUGAGGUUCCCAGUACAGUGCCUGGCUUCCUGUAGGGGCUUAAAUAUUUCUCACCCUCCCAGCCAAGCAGCAGAGGAAGAGAAGCUGUUUGGUCAGCGGACAGGGCAAUAGAAGCAGGGGUAUAAGGGGGGGGUGGUAGCUGGAAACCCGAGACCCCAGUGUGCUUGGAUUUCUGAAAAUGCUGGCUGCCUGCUCUGUCUUGGAGCAAAGUCGAAUUAGGUGGAUGGCAGUGGGGGUGGCAGACCAAAGGCCUGCCAAGGCCAAGCCCUCCCCGGGGCUGCCAGAAUGGACCGGACGUCAGUGACAUCACAAUCCUGAGGGGUUGCCAAGGCACUGCUGGAGGUGGACCGUCUUAUUUCUCCCCACGGAGCUCUAGGAUGUGGAUGUGAGA
This is a long non-coding RNA of Zalophus californianus (California sea lion), 1584 nucleotides long. The record is from Ensembl. NCBI's taxonomy places the organism in Eukaryota, Metazoa, Chordata, Mammalia, Carnivora, Otariidae.